RNAcentral lists this ribosomal RNA (877 nucleotides) under uncultured bacterium. RNAcentral describes it as "bacterial SSU rRNA". It matches the Rfam family "Bacterial small subunit ribosomal RNA", at positions 9 to 873 of the family's 1533-position model. The record is from RNAcentral.
CGCAUGUUUGAUCCUGGCUCAGAUUGAACGCUGGCGGCAUGCCUUACACAUGCAAGUCGAACGGCAGCGCGGGAGCAAUCCUGGCGGCGAGUGGCGAACGGGUGAGUAAUACAUCGGAACGUGCCCAAUCGUGGGGGAUAACGCAGCGAAAGCUGUGCUAAUACCGCAUAAGAUCUACGGAUGAAAGCAGGGGAUCGCAAGACCUUGCGCGAAUGGAGCGGCCGAUGGCAGAUUAGGUAGUUGGUGAGGUAAAGGCUCACCAAGCCUUCGAUCUGUAGCUGGUCUGAGAGGACGACCAGCCACACUGGGACUGAGACACGGCCCAGACUCCUACGGGAGGCAGCAGUGGGGAAUUUUGGACAAUGGGCGCAAGCCUGAUCCAGCCAUGCCGCGUGCAGGAUGAAGGCCUUCGGGUUGUAAACUGCUUUUGUACGGAACGAAAAGUCUCUUUCUAAUAAAGAGGGAUCAUGACGGUACCGUAAGAAUAAGCACCGGCUAACUACGUGCCAGCAGCCGCGGUAAUACGUAGGGUGCAAGCGUUAAUCGGAAUUACUGGGCGUAAAGCGUGCGCAGGCGGUUAUGUAAGACAGUUGUGAAAUCCCCGGGCUCAACCUGGGAACUGCAUCUGUGACUGCAUAGCUAGAGUACGGUAGAGGGGGAUGGAAUUCCGCGUGUAGCAGUGAAAUGCGUAGAUAUGCGGAGGAACACCGAUGGCGAAGGCAAUCCCCUGGACCUGUACUGACGCUCAUGCACGAAAGCGUGGGGAGCAAACAGGAUUAGAUACCCUGGUAGUCCACGCCCUAAACGAUGUCAACUGGUUGUUGGGUCUUCACUGACUCAGUAACGAAGCUAACGCGUGAAGUUGACCGUAUUCUAU